Cladorrhinum sp. PSN259 is the source of this 82-nucleotide non-coding RNA. Lineage: Eukaryota; Fungi; Ascomycota; Sordariomycetes; Sordariales; Podosporaceae. The record is from the annotation of a GenBank genome assembly.
AGCUGCGUGGCGCAGCGGAAGCGCGCCGGGCUCAUACCCACGAGGAACCCGGAGGACCCUGGAUCGAAACCAGGCGCAGCUA